This is a long non-coding RNA of Mauremys reevesii (Reeves's turtle), 592 nucleotides long. RefSeq lists it as uncharacterized. Lineage: Eukaryota; Metazoa; Chordata; Testudines; Geoemydidae. The transcript has 3 exons. The record is from RefSeq and is a predicted model, not a curated record.
AGCCAUGACAUAGGAAUAGAGCUUCUCCAGUCCCAGUGCUGUGUGGGAGAGCGGGGUGGUUAGGAAAUGAGACAAGGAGUUCUGGGGCAGGCAAAAUGGUGGGGAGCCUAGGUGGAACAUGGCUGAGAUCCCGGUGAAGAGGACGCAAGGGACAGGGCCAUAGGUGGUGCUGCGGGUGGACAGGGUGGGUACAGGGAGAACAAUUGCUGUGGCCCAGGGCCCCGAUAAACCUUAAUCAUCCUCCGUGCUCCAUCUUCUAUGAUCAACAGAGGGGAAAUUGUUCCAUUCAGCAAAAGGAAGAAAGGUGGUCGUUGUGCAUACCAUGAAAGAAGCCCUGCGACUCUUUGAAAUGUUUCAUGACAGUGCAGUCGGUGGACAUCUUGGAAUACUCAAAACGAGGAACGUGCUGACAUCAAAACACUAUUGGCCAGGGAUGACAAAAGACAUUACCAAUUGGGUUGCACAAUGCCUGACUUGCCAGAAACAGGGAAAGCAAUCAAAUCUGGAUACCACCUUGAAAAGCAUAAAGGUCACGCGGAUCUGGGAAUUGUUGGGAAUGGAUUUAAUAGGACCAUUACCAACAACAAAGGAU